UGGUUUUGAGAAGGAACCGGCCUCAUUC
This 28-nucleotide non-coding RNA is filed under the name Mus musculus (house mouse). RNAcentral also lists the same sequence under 1 other name. The record is from RNAcentral. Lineage: Eukaryota; Metazoa; Chordata; Mammalia; Rodentia; Muridae.